This 301-nucleotide ribosomal RNA is filed under the name uncultured bacterium. RNAcentral describes it as "partial 16S ribosomal RNA". It matches the Rfam family "Bacterial small subunit ribosomal RNA", at positions 509 to 807 of the family's 1533-position model. The record is from RNAcentral.
CAGUAGCCGCGGGAAUACAGAGGGUGCAAGCGUUAAUCGGAAUUACUGGGCGUAAAGCGCGCGUAGGUGGUUUGUUAAGUUGGAUGUGAAAUCCCCGGGCUCAACUCGAAGUCUGCAUCGAAAACUGCCGGGCUUGAGUGUGGGAGAGGUGAGUGGAAUUUCCGGUGUAGCGGUGAAAUGCGUAGAUAUCGGAAGGAACACCUGUGGCGAAAGCGGCUCACUGGACCACAACUGACGCUGAGGCGCGAAAGCUAGGGGAGCAAACAGGAUUAGAUACCCCCGUAGUCCCUGUCUCUUAUAC